Molecule: ribosomal RNA, 159 nt
Filed under: Escherichia coli
Lineage: Bacteria; Pseudomonadati; Pseudomonadota; Gammaproteobacteria; Enterobacterales; Enterobacteriaceae
Also listed under: 1 other name
Description: partial 16S ribosomal RNA
Rfam family: Bacterial small subunit ribosomal RNA
Source: RNAcentral
AAAUUGAAGAGUUUGAUCAUGGCUCAGAUUGAACGCUGGCGGCAGGCCUAACACAUGCAAGUCGAGCGGAAACGAGUUAUCAGAACCUUCGGGGGACGAUAACGGCGUCGAGCGGCGGACGGGUGAGUAAUGCCUAGGAAAUUGCCCUGAUGUGGGGGA